Molecule: ribosomal RNA, 488 nt
Filed under: uncultured bacterium
Lineage: Bacteria
Description: partial 16S ribosomal RNA
Rfam family: Bacterial small subunit ribosomal RNA
Source: RNAcentral
ACUCAAAGGAAUAGACGGGGGCCCGCACAAGCAGCGGAGCGUGUGGUUUAAUUCGAGGCUACACGAAGAACCUUACCUAGGGUGGACAGGUGGCUAGUAGGGAACCGAAAGGGGACCGACCCGCAAGGGAGGCCACUCAGGUGCUGCAUGGCUGUCGUCAGCUCGUGCCGUGAGGUGUUAGGUUAAGUCCUGUAACGAGCGCAACCCCCGGGUCUAGUUACACGCUGUCUAGACCGACUGCCCGUGACAAGCGGGAGGAAGGUGGGGAUGACGUCAAGUCAGCAUGGCCUUUAUCUCUAGGGCUACACACACGCUACAAUGGCCGGUACAAUGGGUCGCCAAGCCGCAAGGCGGAGCCAAUCCAGACAAAGCCGGUCCCAGUUCGGAUUGGGGGCUGCAACCCGCCCCCAUGAAGUCGGAGUUGCUAGUAACCGCGCGUCAGCCAUAGUGCGGUGAAUACGUUCCCGGGCCUUGUACACACCGCCCGU